This 789-nucleotide long non-coding RNA is filed under the name Zea mays. RNAcentral describes it as "long non-coding RNA NONZMAT001090". The record is from RNAcentral. Lineage: Eukaryota; Viridiplantae; Streptophyta; Magnoliopsida; Poales; Poaceae.
UGCUGAAAUUCUGAGAAUUACAAAUGCAAACAAAAUAAACAAUUAUGAAUUAUCAGCUCAAACCACUAAUGUACCUCAGGUCCUGUAGAUCCAAUCAACUCAAAUGUCUCCAAAUCCCAGAACUUGACAGUUUUAUCAGCUGAACCUGAAGGAAGCAACAAAUUUUACAUAAGAGAUUUAGUUUCAAAAGGAAUAUACUCUUCUGAGCUCCCACAUAAAUAUAUGAAUACACUCUUCACUGCCUAACAGGAGACAAUAUGUGUCCACCAAAACAAAAAUGGAAUUUGUUAAUUGAUGACACGAAUAGAAAGUUUAUAUAUAGAAGAUAGAACAUAUUAUACACAGUUUUAAUGCAUCUCUUCACAAAUGUCACCAAGGAAAACAAACAUGAUAUCCCACGACAAAAAAAUAACAUAAUACGUGCAUAGCGAUUUACUUAAAGCAAGCUAACCUAUGCCAAGAUAUGACUACUUGGAAUUUUCUUGACAAAUAAUCAAAAAGCUAAUAUGUGGUGUGGUGGGGCAGAUAACAAUUACAACCAUAGUAUGAUCCAUUACCUAAAAGGUCAAAAGAACAGUCAUUACACUUUGGUUUAAAUCUUAUUUUUAGUUAGGAAAUCAUGUUUAAACAGUUUUCCACUCAAUGGACAAAUGCCAAGCUCGUCUUAGAUAACACCUAAAUACUUAAAUUAAUUUACCGGCUCAAUGAACCGACAAGUCUUUUCUUCAACCAAAUGUCCAAAUGUCAUGACAGAGGUCCAAGAUUUAACCAUAAACAAGUACAUAAUAC